GGACGAACGCUGGCGGCGUGCCUAACACAUGCAAGUCGAACGGACUGAUUCCUUCGGGAAAGAAAGUUAGUGGCGGACGGGUGAGUAACGCGUGAGCAACCUGCCUUCAGAGAGGGAUAACGUUUGGAAACAGACGCUAAUACCGCAUAACGCGUCGGAGUCGCAUGGCUCUGGCGCCAAAGGAGCAAUCCGCUGAAAGAUGGGCUCGCGUCCGAUUAGAUAGUUGGUGGGGUAACGGCCCACCAAGUCGACGAUCGGUAGCCGGACUGAGAGGUUGAACGGCCACAUUGGGACUGAGACACGGCCCAGACUCCUACGGGAGGCAGCAGUGGGGGAUAUUGCACAAUGGGCGCAAGCCUGAUGCAGCAACGCCGCGUGAGGGAUGACGGUUUUCGGAUUGUAAACCUCUGUCUUUGGUGACGAACAAAUGACGGUAGCCGAGGAGGAAGCCACGGCUAACUACGUGCCAGCAGCUGC
Molecule: ribosomal RNA, 477 nt
Filed under: uncultured bacterium
Lineage: Bacteria
Description: bacterial SSU rRNA
Rfam family: Bacterial small subunit ribosomal RNA
Source: RNAcentral